Molecule: unclassified non-coding RNA, 296 nt
Filed under: Mizuhopecten yessoensis (Yesso scallop)
Lineage: Eukaryota; Metazoa; Mollusca; Bivalvia; Pectinida; Pectinidae
Description: zinc finger protein 62 homolog, transcript variant X3
Source: RNAcentral
AUUUAACUGUUGGACUGAGAUUGAAUUCGGGGUUUUGGUUAGAGCCGACACUACACAUGGUAAGCCAAAGUAUACGUUUACAAACCAAAUCCGGUCAACGGCUUCAAAUUUCGAUCAUUUUAGGCCACUGUUAAGGACUUUAGUACGUACCACAUCUACAGCGGAAGUUGGCAAUAGGCCUAUAUUGGGGAUGGACUUCAGCGGAACAUGAGGUGUCUCAAGUGACGUCUAUGUGGUUGGAAUACUGUUCUGAAAUGUACACGAAUAUUGUGUUAUCACCCCCCAGUGAGGGUAUA